UAUCCGAUGAUUAAACCACCUUCACUGCUGUUCACAUUAUGAGCGACUGAUUAUUUUAUGUCUGAAUGAGGAUA
RNAcentral lists this small nucleolar RNA (74 nucleotides) under Ornithorhynchus anatinus (platypus). RNAcentral describes it as "C/D box snoRNA Oa1747". Lineage: Eukaryota; Metazoa; Chordata; Mammalia; Monotremata; Ornithorhynchidae. The record is from RNAcentral.